GCUCGAGAAGCUCAAUUGGUAGAGCAUGGUCCUGAAGAGACUGGGGUUAUAAGUUCGAAUCUUAUCUUGGGCA
Molecule: transfer RNA, 73 nt
Filed under: Botryosphaeria dothidea
Lineage: Eukaryota; Fungi; Ascomycota; Dothideomycetes; Botryosphaeriales; Botryosphaeriaceae
Also listed under: 1 other name
Rfam family: tRNA
About the family: Transfer RNA (tRNA) molecules are approximately 80 nucleotides in length. Their secondary structure includes four short double-helical elements and three loops (D, anti-codon, and T loops). Further hydrogen bonds mediate the characteristic L-shaped molecular structure. tRNAs have two regions of fundamental functional importance: the anti-codon, which is responsible for specific mRNA codon recognition, and the 3' end, to which the tRNAs corresponding amino acid is attached (by aminoacyl-tRNA synthetases). tRNAs cope with the degeneracy of the genetic code in two manners: having more than one tRNA (with a specific anti-codon) for a particular amino acid; and 'wobble' base-pairing, i.e. permitting non-standard base-pairing at the 3rd anti-codon position.
Source: Rfam by way of RNAcentral